ACCGAUAUAGUGAAAUGGAUUAUCACAAUAGACUACGAAUCUAUUAUUCCAAGUUCGAAUCUUGGUAUCGGUG
Molecule: transfer RNA, 73 nt
Filed under: Klebsiella pneumoniae
Lineage: Bacteria; Pseudomonadati; Pseudomonadota; Gammaproteobacteria; Enterobacterales; Enterobacteriaceae
Also listed under: 1 other name
Description: tRNA-Arg
Rfam family: tRNA
About the family: Transfer RNA (tRNA) molecules are approximately 80 nucleotides in length. Their secondary structure includes four short double-helical elements and three loops (D, anti-codon, and T loops).
Source: RNAcentral